Molecule: ribosomal RNA, 777 nt
Filed under: Triticum aestivum (bread wheat)
Lineage: Eukaryota; Viridiplantae; Streptophyta; Magnoliopsida; Poales; Poaceae
Description: partial small subunit ribosomal RNA
Source: RNAcentral
AUGGACGACUACGCGCGGGAGAUGAUGGAGCUCAAGACGCUCGUCACCCGCACCCUCGAGAAGAAGGGCGUCCUCGCCAAGAUUAGGGCUGAACUGAGAGCAAGUGUGUUUGAGGCUAUAGAAGAGGAGGACCGUGUGAUAGAGGAGAACGAAGAUGGCGGGAAUCCUGCUUUGCUUGGUAGCUGCAACGACCGUGCUAAGCAGCUGCAUGCUUCACCGUCAGGUAGGUUAUUAACAGCACUUAUAGGUGAAUACUUGGAGUGGGCCCAGCUAAGUCACACGAUGAAAGUUUAUUUGCCAGAAUGUAAUCUGCCCAAGGAUUUUUGGAAGAAUGAGCUAAAGGAUUUCUCUAACAAAAAUGGAGCUGAAGGGAGCAGGAGCGCUGAGAGUGGUCCCAUGCUUCUAGAUGUUCUUGAAGGAUAUCUCAAAUAUGAGAAUUUGUCUCAAACGAGGAUGGCUGGUAGGAGAAUGAUCAAUUCUGAACCUGAGCCAACAUUGAAUACUGAGCAUCGGAACAUGAGGAGGCCACCAUCUUCAUCUUCAAUCGCUGGCAUGCCUCCUAUGGGAAGGCAAAUGCCACCUUCGCAGACAUCAGACCGAAGAGGGGGCUCUUCUGCUUCCAAUACAAGGAAAGAUGAGUACAACUGGGGAUAUGAUGCUGAUGAUCUCUCGGAGGAAGUAUUGCGUACAUCCACUGCUCUAGAGAACAUCCAGUUAGACCGGAAAGCCCGAAACCUGACGACAUCUUGGAGGCAUCCAGGCAGUGGUGCCGAGUAG